CGAACGCUGGCGGCGUGCUUAACACAUGCAAGUCGAACGGAAAGGCCCUGCUUUUGUGGGGUGCUCGAGUGGCGAACGGGUGAGUAACACGUGAGUAACCUGCCCUUGACUUUGGGAUAACUUCAGGAAACUGGGGCUAAUACCGGAUAGGAGCUCCUGCUGCAUGGUGGGGGUUGGAAAGUUUCGGCGGUUGGGGAUGGACUCGCGGCUUAUCAGCUUGUUGGUGGGGUAGUGGCUUACCAAGGCUUUGACGGGUAGCCGGCCUGAGAGGGUGACCGGCCACAUUGGGACUGAGAUACGGCCCAGACUCCUACGGGAGGCAGCAGUGGGGAAUAUUGCACAAUGGGCGGAAGCCUGAUGCAGCAACGCCGCGUGCGGGAUGACGGCCUUCGGGUUGUAAACCGCUUUCGCCUGUGACGAAGCGUGAGUGACGGUAAUGGGUAAAGGAGCACCGGCUAACUACGUG
Molecule: ribosomal RNA, 466 nt
Filed under: uncultured bacterium
Lineage: Bacteria
Description: partial 16S ribosomal RNA
Rfam family: Bacterial small subunit ribosomal RNA
Source: RNAcentral